GCCUGGGUAGCUCAGGGGUAGAGCAGUCGACUGAAAAUCGACGUGUCGGUGGUUCAAAUCCGCCCCCGGGCACCA
Molecule: transfer RNA, 75 nt
Filed under: Rubellimicrobium sp.
Lineage: Bacteria; Pseudomonadati; Pseudomonadota; Alphaproteobacteria; Rhodobacterales; Roseobacteraceae
Also listed under: 1 other name
Description: tRNA-Phe
Rfam family: tRNA
About the family: Transfer RNA (tRNA) molecules are approximately 80 nucleotides in length. Their secondary structure includes four short double-helical elements and three loops (D, anti-codon, and T loops).
Source: RNAcentral